GACGAACGCUGGCGGCGUGCUUAACACAUGCAAGUCGAACGAUGAAGCCUAGCUUGCUAGGUGGAUUAGUGGCGAACGGGUGAGUAAUACGUGAGUAACCUACCUUUAACUCUGGGAUAAGCCUGGGAAACUGGGUCUAAUACCGGAUACGACCAAUCUCCGCAUGGGGUGUUGGUGGAAAGCGUUAUGUAGUGGUUAUAGAUGGGCUCACGGCCUAUCAGCUUGUUGGUGAGGUAACGGCUCACCAAGGCGACGACGGGUAGCCGGCCGGAGAGGGUGACGGGCCACCCGGGGCAGGAGAACCGGCCCACGCCCUUCGGGGGGGCAGCGGGGGGGAAAUUUGCACAAGGGGCGCAAGCCUGAGGCAGCGCCCCCGCGGGGGGGAUGAGGGCUUUCGGGUUGUAAACCCCUUUUAGCAGGAAAGAAGAGAAAUUGGCGGUCCCGGCAGAAAAAGCCCCGGCAAAUUACGG
RNAcentral lists this ribosomal RNA (470 nucleotides) under uncultured bacterium. Its description in RNAcentral is "partial 16S ribosomal RNA". It matches the Rfam family "Bacterial small subunit ribosomal RNA", at positions 28 to 506 of the family's 1533-position model. The record is from RNAcentral.